AGUGAACGCUGGCGGUAGGCCUAAGACAUGCAAGUCGAACGGCAGCACAGUAAGAGCUUGCUCUUACGGGUGGCGAGUGGCGGACGGGUGAGGAAUACAUCGGAAUCUACUUUUUCGUGGGGGAUAACGUAGGGAAACUUACGCUAAUACCGCAUACGACCUACGGGUGAAAGCAGGGGAUCUUCGGACCUUGCGCGAUUGAAUGAGCCGAUGUCGGAUUAGCUAGUUGGCGGGGUAAAGGCCCACCAAGGCGACGAUCCGUAGCUGGUCUGAGAGGAUGAUCAGCCACACUGGAACUGAGACACGGUCCAGACUCCUACGGGAGGCAGCAGUGGGGAAUAUUGGACAAUGGGCGCAAGCCUGAUCCAGCCAUACCGCGUGGGUGAAGAAGGCCUUCGGGUUGUAAAGCCCUUUUGUUGGGAAAGAAAAGCAGCAGGUUAAUACCCCGCUGUUCUGACGGUACCCAAAGAAUAAGCACCGGCUAACUUCGUG
RNAcentral lists this ribosomal RNA (492 nucleotides) under uncultured bacterium. RNAcentral describes it as "partial 16S ribosomal RNA". It matches the Rfam family "Bacterial small subunit ribosomal RNA", at positions 29 to 507 of the family's 1533-position model. The record is from RNAcentral.